CCUACGGGUGGCAGCAGUGGGGAAUAUUGCACAAUGGGGGAAACCCUGAUGCAGCAACGCCGCGUGAGUGAUGAAGGCCUUCGGGUUGUAAAGCCCUGUCUUCAGGGACGAAAAUGACGGUACCUGAGGAAGAAGCCCCGGCUAACUACGUGCCAGCAGCCGCGGUAAUACGUAGGUGGCGAGUGUUGUCCGGAUUUACUGGGCGUAAAGGGAGCGUAGGCGGCCUUGUAAGUCAGAUGUGAAAUACCCGGGCUCAACUUGAGUGCUGCAUUUCAAACUGGAGGGCUAGAGUGCAGGAGAGGAGAAUGGAAUUCCUAGUGUAGCGGUGAAAUGCGUAGAGAUUAGGAGGAACACCAGUGGCGAAGGCGAUUCUCUGGACUGUAACUGACGCUGAGGCUCGAAAGCGUGGGGAGCAAACAGGAUUAGAUACCCGAGUAGUC
RNAcentral lists this ribosomal RNA (440 nucleotides) under uncultured bacterium. RNAcentral's name for it is "partial 16S ribosomal RNA". It matches the Rfam family "Bacterial small subunit ribosomal RNA", at positions 338 to 795 of the family's 1533-position model. The record is from RNAcentral.